This 328-nucleotide ribosomal RNA is filed under the name uncultured Clostridiaceae bacterium. Its description in RNAcentral is "partial 16S ribosomal RNA". Lineage: Bacteria; Bacillati; Bacillota; Clostridia; Eubacteriales; Clostridiaceae. The record is from RNAcentral.
GGAGUCUGGGCCGUGUCUCAGUCCCAAUGUGGCCGUCCGCCCUCUCAGGCCGGCUACCGAUCGUCGCUUUGGUGGGCCUUUACCCCGCCAUCUUGCUAAUCAGACGCAGGCCCAUCCCAUACCGAUAAAUCUUUGACAGUCCCAACAUGCGAUAAAACUGUGUUAUGAGGUAUUAAUUACCGUUUCCAGUAGCUAUCCCUUUGUAUGGGGCAGGUUGCCUACGCGUUACUCACCCGUCCGCCGCUUUCCACUCGAUCACUCAUCCGAAGAAUCGUUCACGAGCUUCUCGCUCGACUUGCAUGUGUUAAGCACGCCGCCAGCGUUCAUC